Long non-coding RNA from Octopus sinensis (East Asian common octopus), 171 nucleotides. RefSeq lists it as uncharacterized. The transcript is spliced from 3 exons. Lineage: Eukaryota; Metazoa; Mollusca; Cephalopoda; Octopoda; Octopodidae. The record is from RefSeq and is a predicted model, not a curated record.
AAAAGUUACAAUUUAAGAUUUGGAGAUCUAAGAGGUUAAGGUUUAAAGCCAAAGAGAUUAAAUUAAAACCUGCAGGUUAAAGUAAAGAAUUCACAGCUAUCUUCUAAGAUACUAAUGGUGAUGGAGAAGAUAAUGAAGGGAUAGACAUAAGUAUAUUAUAACGACCAUGGA